ACUGGUUAUAAAGUUUUAAUUUGGGGGUGGGGGAGGAUGGGGGCGUAGAGCCCAAUGAAGUUUCCGACAGGAGUUCCAUACGUUCCAGAAGGCUUACAGGACCCUGGAGGUCUGGUUAGCCUCAAGCCGAGGUUGGUUUUUGCGUCCAGCAGAGCGUUAACAUUAAGGCAGUUGUGAGUUCCUUGAGGAGGUCCUGUGUCAGCUAUUGACCAGUGGGCUGCAAGGUGUAAGGAAACUGAAUUGCAUCUCCAUUUCUUUUGCCUUUCUUCACCUCAUCACCCGCCAUCUUUUUUCUUUCCCUUCUUUUCUGUAACAUUCAAAGUCUGUUCCCUGCACACAGGCUCAGCACGUUCUUAUGCAAAGUGGAAGCCACUGGUGGUCACACAGAUUGUUCACUUUUCAAGAGUGGGCUGUGCUCCUUUCCCAAGGAGGGCAAGGACAUAACCUACAAAAGGAAAAAUAUGGGAGAACCCCCUCCUCUCACAGCUACGUUUCUGUUGCGCACGUUCUCUUCAGGCACAGAGCUACUUUUCAGCAUGUCACAGAGAGCAAACAUGCAAGCAUGGCAUUUACGGCUUUCCCUCAAAAGUGAUCUGUGACUGGAUCCCGAGCAGACCUGAGCUUUAUAGGGUGUCAUAGGCUGUUGCUUUCAUAAAUGUCACGGACAUAAAACGAACUUUGUGGAAGCACCGAGUUCUCAUGAGUGCUGAUUCUGCGAGCAGGCCCGGCAGCACAGGGAUGGGGGAGGAAUUGUCGGGAUCCUGGAAUAAUCACGGGGCAGCACGGCCUCGCUCUGGGCUUCUGUGUCCUACUUGUUUACAGACUCGUCAUCCGUUCUGCGGAUUGGGCCAGCGAGUUGCUCUGUUGACAGCCAAAGGCACUCAUGAGAAGACUUAAACAACCAAGUGUGACAGCACACGUGGGGUCACUCCGUCUACCAUGAAAGUAGGACCCGUGUCUGCCUCAGAUUGGGGAUUCUUACACAAUGAUCAAAGAAGCCCAAACUUUUUCCUUUACUCCGAAGACUUUAAACACUGGACCGUGACCUUCUUAGGGACAGUGUGACUUUGCUCCUCUCUCACACUCAGCCUAGAGACGGUGCCCAGAUCGGAAAUAAAGCAGCUGAA
Prionailurus viverrinus (fishing cat) is the source of this 1127-nucleotide long non-coding RNA. RefSeq lists it as uncharacterized. NCBI's taxonomy places the organism in Eukaryota, Metazoa, Chordata, Mammalia, Carnivora, Felidae. The record is from RefSeq and is a predicted model, not a curated record. The transcript has 2 exons.